CGGGGCGUGGCGCAGCUUGGCAGCGCGUCUGGUUUGGGACCAGAAGGUCGUGGGUUCAAAUCCCGCCGCCCCGA
This 74-nucleotide transfer RNA is filed under the name Spongiactinospora rosea. RNAcentral describes it as "Sphaerisporangium sp. LHW63015 tRNA-Pro". It matches the Rfam family "tRNA". Rfam says of the family: Transfer RNA (tRNA) molecules are approximately 80 nucleotides in length. The record is from RNAcentral. Lineage: Bacteria; Bacillati; Actinomycetota; Actinomycetes; Streptosporangiales; Streptosporangiaceae. RNAcentral also lists the same sequence under 3 other names.